GAUGAACGCUGGCGGCGUGCCUAAUACAUGCAAGUCGAGCGAACAGACGAGGAGCUUGCUCCUCUGACGUUAGCGGCGGACGGGUGAGUAACACGUGGAUAACCUACCUAUAAGACUGGGAUAACUUCGGGAAACCGGAGCUAAUACCGGAUAAUAUAUUGAACCGCAUGGUUCAAUAGUGAAAGACGGUUUUGCUGUCACUUAUAGAUGGAUCCGCGCCGCAUUAGCUAGUUGGUAAGGUAACGGCUUACCAAGGCAACGAUGCGUAGCCGACCUGAGAGGGGCAUGGGCCCACCUGGAACCUGACCCCGGGCCAGCCCCCGCGGGGGGGGAGCGGUGGGGAACUUUCCGCAAGGGGGCAAACCCGAAAGGGGCAACCCCGGGUGGGUGAAAAAGUGUUUAGGAUCUAAAAACUUUUUUUUGGGGAAAAAAAAAAUGGUGAAAUAAAUAUGCCCCUUGUGAGGGGACCAAAUAAAAAAGCCACGGCCAACUACGGC
This 497-nucleotide ribosomal RNA is filed under the name uncultured bacterium. Its description in RNAcentral is "partial 16S ribosomal RNA". It matches the Rfam family "Bacterial small subunit ribosomal RNA", at positions 28 to 508 of the family's 1533-position model. The record is from RNAcentral.